CAAUAGCGUAUAUUUAAGUUGUUGCAGUUAAAAAGCUCGUAGUUGGAUUUCGGGUGGGACCGACCGGUCUGUCGUUCUGAUAUGUACUGGUCGAGCUCAUCUUGCUGUCGGGGACUCGCUUCUGGCCUUAACUGGCUGGAACGGGGAGUCGGCGAUGUUACUUUGAAAAAAUUAGAGUGUUCAAAGCAGGCUUACGCAUUGAAUACAUUAGCAUGGAAUAACGCUAUAGGACUCCGAUCCUAUUGUGUUGGUCUUCGGGACUGGAGUAAUGAUUAAGAGGGACAGUUGGGGGCGAUUCGUAUUUCAUUGUCAGAGGUGAAAUUCUUGGAUUUAUGAAAGACGAACUUCUGCGAAAGCAUUUGCCAAGGAUGUUUUCAUUAAUCAAGAACGAAAGUUGGGGGCUCGAAGACGAUUAGAUACCAU
This 423-nucleotide ribosomal RNA is filed under the name uncultured eukaryote. RNAcentral describes it as "bacterial SSU rRNA". It matches the Rfam family "Eukaryotic small subunit ribosomal RNA", at positions 592 to 1018 of the family's 1831-position model. The record is from RNAcentral.